GGAUGAUGCUGCUAAAGUCAAGAUUUGGGUAUAAUUUUUUGACUGCAUCUUGAUCGUCUUCAUACUUGAUGUAAUAAGAGGCGAACCCACCUUCGAGGAUUUCUUCUCUGAAUUCUUCUGAAUACUUGAAGUCCUCGAUCGUCCAACUUAAUGCCUCCCUCGCUGACUCUGCUUCCGCCUUCGCCAACUCAGCAUCGGCUCGUGACGACUCCUCCUCGACCAGUGCCAACCUUUCCAGGCUAGCCCGAUGUUGUCCACGUUUGGCUUCGAGUUCAGCAAUGCAUCCAUCUCGUUCCCAUCAAAGUC
This 306-nucleotide long non-coding RNA is filed under the name Elaeis guineensis (African oil palm). Its description in RNAcentral is "long non-coding RNA (EGUI_LNC014499)". Lineage: Eukaryota; Viridiplantae; Streptophyta; Magnoliopsida; Arecales; Arecaceae. The record is from RNAcentral.